AGUGAACGCUGGCGGUAGGCCUAACACAUGCAAGUCGAACGGCAGCACAGGAGAGCUUGCUCUCUGGGUGGCGAGUGGCGGACGGGUGAGGAAUACAUCGGAAUCUACUCUGUCGUGGGGGAUAACGUAGGGAAACUUACGCUAAUACCGCAUACGACCUACGGGUGAAAGCAGGGGACCUUCGGGCCUUGCGCGAUUGAAUGAGCCGAUGUCGGAUUAGCUAGUUGGCGGGGCAAAGGCCCACCAAGGCGACGAUCCGUAGCUGGUCUGAGAGGAUGAUCAGCCACACUGGAACGGAGACACGGUCCAGACUCCUACGGGAGGCAGCAGUGGGGAAUAUUGGACAAUGGGCGCAAGCCUGAUCCAGCCAUACCGCGUGGGUGAAGAAGGCCUUCGGGUUGUAAGGCCCUUUUGUUGGGAAAGAAAUCCAGCUGGCUAAUACCCGGUUGGGAUGACGGUACCCAAAGAAUAAGCACCGGCUAACUUCGUGCCAGCCGCCGCGGUAA
Molecule: ribosomal RNA, 506 nt
Filed under: uncultured bacterium
Lineage: Bacteria
Description: partial 16S ribosomal RNA
Rfam family: Bacterial small subunit ribosomal RNA
Source: RNAcentral